GAGGUUUCUGGCUGACUCGGUGGGUGCUUUGAACCAGGAAAGGACAAGAAAGAGAAGAUCAGGUUCAAGGAGCCAGCCAGACUCUGGGCUUCAAGGAGGAGUAGGCUGUGGAUGGCCUGGCCUCAUUUGCAUGUCCCUCUC
RNAcentral lists this long non-coding RNA (141 nucleotides) under Pongo abelii (Sumatran orangutan). Its description in RNAcentral is "lincRNA". Lineage: Eukaryota; Metazoa; Chordata; Mammalia; Primates; Hominidae. The record is from RNAcentral.